AGCUGCUGCUGCUGGUUCUGUUGCUCGCCGGAGAAAGAAAAAAGGGCCGGAGUGGGAGCUGGCUUUCGCUGGCUGCUGCUGUCUGCCAUGCCUGGCUUUGGUCGCCGGAGCUGCUGGUGCCGGUGGAGGAGGUGUUCGCUGCUGCUGCUGGUGGUUGCUGGCUUCCUCCUCCUCGCUGCUGCUGGUUGCUACGCUGGCUGCUCACUGGAGUUGCUGUCCAGCUUCCUUCGCCUGAAAAGGAGGAGAAGAAGAGAUAGGGGCAAGGGGAGAUAAAUGAGAAAGUGUGAAGGGAGAGAGAGAGGGCGCCGGAGAGGGAGACGGGGAGGAGGAGAGGCGACUGCCUCCGGUGGCUUUCGCCGGAAAAAAAUAUGGUGGGGAGAGAGGGUGGCGGCUGCCCGGAGAGGAGAGGAAGAGAUGAAUUUUUUUUGAGGGGCUUGGUCUUUCUAGGUUAAAUUGGAAGGUUUUGGGGGAUUUAAUCCAAAACGUUGAUUCAUGUUAAGAUGAGGGGCUGAGAUUUAAAGGAUGAUAUCAACAGCUAUGAUUAAAAGAUGAGGUUGGGUUGAAUAUAUUAAAUUGAAAUAAAUUGGCUAUAAUUGCAAAGGACAGAAGGGGCUAGAAUUGCAAUUAAAUUAGAAUAAGAGGCUAAAAUCGAAAUGAAUUGAAAUAGCAAGAGUGGCUACAGAUUAAAUAAAUUGGAAUGGAUUAGGCUAAGCUUUAAAUGAUUUAGAGCAAAUUUAAGAAAAUGCUAACCAAUUAAAAUACUACACGUUAUAAUAUUUUUAUAUAAUUAAAAUCUCUUUUAAAUUUUAAAAUAUUUGAAUAAAAUAAUUACUUUCAGUUUAACUAUCAAUAAAUAUAAUAAUAAAAUAAUUACAAUAAAUUUUUUAUAAAUCAAGCUUACUAAAAUAUAUAAUUUUUUAGGCAAAAUUGACUAAAAUUUUAAGCUCAAAAUAUUUUCAAAAGUAUGUAUUUAAUCGAAUAGCAUUCCUAAAAUUGCUGAAGGUCGGUCAAAAUUGGGUGUCAACAGUUGCCCCUUGGUUGCUUGAGAAUGAAGGAUGAAUUGUCGAGCAAUCAACGCUGACUUAGUAGCCGAUUUUGUCCGACCGACGAGAGAUGUCAGUGGGAUCCAUUGAAAUGAUAUAAGGUUGAAAAUGAUACGACCGAGACUUUGGUAUUAAGCCGCCUACAUAUCUCUGGUUAUACGAGAAUUAGGUUGUGUGUAGUUCUAGACUUAGGAGUAGACGAAACUCCUAAGAAUUGAAAGAGCGGUACGGUAUUUGAACGGGAACGAUAUUGGCUUGAAUGGAUAAGAUUAGAGUAGCGAGAAAGGCAUGACAGGGAGAUUUCCGAUUUAAGAGUGCAGAAUCCAAUUAGAAGUGAUAAUAUGAGUAGCCAAGGGUUAAAUGAAAAACAGCACUACGAGUAACGAAGAAAUUGAUAGGGCCUUUGUUGUGAUAGAUGUAAGCACGAUAAUUAUAGCCGAGAGGGAGAUUGAUCUCGUCUGCAAUUUCUCACAUGACUAGAUAAAAUGGUUAGCUUAUGAAAAAUGUGAACCACCAUGAUAAAAAUAUAAGUGCUAGAAAAUAAUAAUGAAGAGAAGAGAUAAGAAGGCGUAUCUGUUUUGAGAAGAUAAUGCUCGUCUCCAUGAAUUCUGGCUUAACUUCUUGAAGAGUUAUAGCCAACUUCCAGAGAUAAGUGUCCUAUUGUAAGGCGGGAGAGCCUAAAUGUCGUAUUGUAAGACGAACGAGCCUAAAUGUCGUAUCGUAAGGCAGACGACCUGAAUGUCGUAUUGUAAGGCAGACGAGCCCGAAUGUCCUAUUGUAAGGCAGACGAACCUGAUGUCCUAUUAUGAGGUGGACGAAUCUAAAUGUCUUAUUGUAAGGUAGACGAGCCUGAAUGUCGUAUUGUAAGGCGAACGAGCCUAAGUGUCGUAUUGUAAGGCGGACGAGCCUAAAUGUCGUAUUGUAAAGCAGACGAGCCAGAAUGUCCUAUUGUAAGGCAGACGAACCUGAUGUCCUAUUAUGAAGUGGACGAAUCUAAAUGUCUUAUUGUAAGGUAGACGAGCCUGAAUGUCGUAUUGUAAGGCGAACGAGCCUAAGUGUCGUAUUGUAAGGCGGACGAGCCUAAAUGUCGUAUUGUAAGGCGGACGAGCCUGAUGUUCUAUUGUAAGGCGGAUGAACCUAAAUAUCGUAUUGUAAGGCAGACGAGUCUGACAUCCUAUUGUAAGGCAGGCGAACCUGAUGUCGUAUUGUAAGGCAGGCGAGCCUAUGUUCAUAUUUGGUAUGCCACAAUAGCAAAUUGAUAAUAGCAUCUUCAACAUAGUCUGAAUGGUAGCUCGAUACAAAUAGUAGCUCUUUAUGUCAAAUAUAUUCCUGCGUUCAGAGAAAAAUCGUAAAUUUGAAAAACAAGAUUGGGUCAUACCUGUGCUUGCUUUGAUUUCGAAAUUGCACUUCAUUGUGAUGAAAUUUUUGAGGAUUUCUCAAAAAUUUCUGCCCCAGUUUAGAGUAUAAGAUAUAUACUCAAAUUUUUGAGGUCUUCUCAAAAAUUCUUCCCCAGUUUCAAUAGCGGGGAAUUUUCUGAUCCUGCUUCACUCAAAGAAAAUUAUUAGUUCAAUAAGAAAAGUGAUUGUCUUAUAUUUGGACAUUAGGCUCGACUUCGAAUCUGAACGUCAAUUAUGUUCAAGAUUGGAUCAAUUAGCCCUGAAUUUGAAUUUGGAGAGGAAUGUUUUGGAUGACCAUGGGAAUGAAAAGAAAUUUAUUUUGAUAGAGACCGGACCCAACAAAGGGUUGCCUACGUAUCCAAAAGGAAAUCAGGUCAAACGUAGUUCAUGACUUAGGAGCAGACGAAACUCCUGAGAAUCGAAAGAGCGUUACGGCAUUCGAACGGGAACAAUAUUAGCUUUGAAUGGAUAAGAUUAGAGAAGCGAGCAAGAAAGACAGAGUGAUUUCCAGUUUGAGAGUGCAGAAUCCGAUGAGAAGCGGUAAUAUGAGUAGCCAAGGGUUAAAUGAAAAAACGGUAAUAUGAGUAUCAAAGAAUUUGAUAGGGCCUUUGUUGCGAUAGAUGUAAGCAUGAUAAUUGUAGCCGAGAGGGAGAUUGAUCUCGCCUGCAAAAUGUUAGUCUCUGCAAAUCUGUAGCUUAUAAUAUUAUUAGAGCAAAUAUAUCAAACAAACGAUAAAGGUAAACAUGAUGCAAUUUCCCAUAUUGACAAUGAUGUUUGCCAUAAGACUAUGAACAUGAUGUCUUAGGCUAUGAUGUCUAGGGCCAUGAUACGCAAAAAUUAUAUCCUCAGGUCAUGAAAAUGUUGUUUGCGGGCCAUGAAAAAUGAUGCCUUUAGACUAUGACACCUUUGGAUCAUGAUAAGCAGAAAGUAAAUCCUUAGGCCAUGAUAUGAUGUCCGCAGGCCAUGAAAAUGAUGCCUUUAGACCAUGACGCCUUAGGAAUAUGAGUAAUGAGUAAAGAAAGCGUAUCUGUAAUUCGGGCAUCUGUUGACACUAUUUCUCGGACACAUGCAAUAUUGGGCACAAUGCAAUCUUGGGCACAUGCAAAUGAUGUAAUUCUCGGGCAUAUGCAGAUCUCGGGCACAAUGCAAUCUCUGGCACAUGCAAUAUCGGGCACAAUGUAAUCUUCGGGCACAUGCAAUAUCGGGCACAAUGCAAUAUCGGGCACAUGCAAUAUCGGGCACGAUGCAAUUUUCAAGCACAUGCAAUAUCGGGCACAAUGCAGUUCUCGGGCACAAUGCAAUCUCGGGCACAUGCAAAUGAUGUAAUUCUCGGGCACAUGUAAUUCUCGGGCUCAAUGUCGUCUGGGCACAUGCAGUCAUCGGACAUGAAAGAUCUUGGACCUUUGCUUUGUCAGAAGCGUCGAGUGUCGUUUGUUGACAAUCUUCGAGUUCAGAAUAUUGUAGCUUUGACCCUUCAUCCUAUUGUAAGGAGUGGGUGCAAUUGAGAAGUUGAUUUUUCGGGAUUGAUAUGAAGUAGUUUGAUCUUUUUGUCUGAUUGGAAAGAUGUACCAAUAAUUGGCGAUUUGUCGGGCUCAAAAUAACUUGGUCCUUCAUUCUGUCAGAAGGAUAGUAUGCCAUUUGACUGGCGAUUUGGGAUCAGUAUAGAGCAAUUUGGUUCUUCCCAUUGUCGGAAGGUCAAUGUGCUAUUCGUUGGUGAUUUUCGAGCUCUGAAUAAUGUAGCUUGAUCACUCUUCCUAUUGAAAGGAUGGAAUGCCAUUGAUUAGCGAUUUGUCGGAUAUAUCGACACAUUGAUCCUUCAAGUGGUGUUGAAGUUGCUUCUUGUAUACGUACCUGUCUUUUAUGCAUUCAAAGAAAAAUAAUUAGUUAAAGGGGAGGUUGAUCUGUAUCCCUGAUUCGGCACAUUAUACUCCUCUGAUGUCUGCUCGUAUGUCCUUUGUAAUGUUGUCGAAAAUUUUGAGGCCCUACUCAAAAUUUUCUGCCCCAGUGUAGAAUUUCUGUUAUUCUGAUUUUGUAUGUAGAUUGUAGCUUGAUUGUUGUGAAUUUUUGAGAUCCUCUCAAAAUUUUGUUCGGUCUUGAUUUGCAAGAAAAUAUGUUUUUGAAGGAAUUUUUGAAACUCUUUCAAAAAUUCUGCCUCAAUAUCGAGAUUUAGCAAGAAGAAUGCUCUUAUAUGAAAAUUUUGAGACCCUCUCAAAAAUUCUGCCCCAGUUACUAAUUUGCGCGAAGAAAUGCUUUUGCAAGAGUUUUGAGUUCCCUGUAGAAAAUUCUGCUUCAGUAUCAUCAUUUGCAAGAAAAUGUCUUUCUGAUGGAAUUUUUGAGACCCUCUCAAAAAUUCUGCCCCAGUUAACAGUCAAAAGGGGAAAUGGAAUUUUAUUAUGAUAAGACCGAACUCCAUAGGAGCGCCUACGUAUCCCCUCUUAAACGGGAAUCAGGUCUGACGUAGUUCCAAAUACAAAGAGCAUAAUUCAAGACAUUAAACAGAGCAUAUAGCAACACCCAACAGAUAGAUUCUGACCAAACUUUAUUGCCCAUAUGCUAACAUGGGUACCUUCCUUGUCAGAACUUGACGGAACAUGAAUGUAGAGAAACUUAAACUUAAAUGGCAUAAGCCUUUAUUUGAAAGUGCUUCAAAUGACCUUCAACAUGUUCAUUGUUGGGGUUCCGCUGGCUCAAAGUCCUCCAAGCAUAUGAUCUUGGUAUCAAUCAAUUGNNNNNNNNNNNNNNNNNNNNNNNNNNNNNNNNNNNNNNNNNNNNNNNNNNNNNNNNNNNNNNNNNNNNNNNNNNNNNNNNNNNNNNNNNNNNNNNNNNNNNNNNNNNNNNNNNNNNNNNNNNNNNNNNNNNNNNNNNNNNNNNNNNNNNNNNNNNNNNNNNNNNNNNNNNNNNNNNNNNNNNNNNNNNNNNNNNNNNNNNNNNNNNNNNNNNNNNNNNNNNNNNNNNNNNNNNNNNNNNNNNNNNNNNNNNNNNNNNNNNNNNNNNNNNNNNNNNNNUAUUGAGGAGGAUAUGGGUAAUUUGGAAAGUGAGUGUUCUUUGGAGGCAUUUGAAUGGAGCUUGGUUGAUUUUGAGAAGUGGGGUAAGUUGGUGGAGGAUGAGAAAUAGAGUGAGUGAGUGGAGGAUUAUCUUGGAGAGUGGCUUGACUUGUGACAGGACGGUUUAUCUAUGUUUGUCUCCAGAGUGGGAUCGACAGAGAGUAACAACUUCGCCCACCCGCGCAUAUCAAACACUUCUUCUUCUAGUUCCCUUAUUUUCUUUUUCAGGCUUGAAGCCAACUCGUCUGAAGGAUGCUUCUUUUCAAUAGUCUUACUCAUAACCUUCUCAUUAGUCGCUUUCCUCUUACCUCUGUGGUUCUCAUUUGGAAGAGAAGGGAGAGAAUCCUUUGAUCACGUAUGGUAAACCAUGGUCUACAGAUCAACCAUUGAGGAAGGGUAAAAAAUAAAAGUAAAAGCAAUAGAAAACCCAAGUUAGAGUGUUGCAAAAUUGAGAUAACAAGCACAUUGAUUUAAGAUAAAACGCCCUAAAUGCAAGGAGCCUUGUUGAGCCAGAGGUAGGCCUAAGACGAAAUAUAAGUGAUGCACAAUAAUUAAUUCAAGCCUUAUUUGCCAAUUUGGAGUUUAGAUUAAAGGAAAUAACAAACUUUAUUUAUUAUAAAAUUCGAACAAUACAUCAUAACAAAAAAACUGAAAUAAACUAAGGGAAAGGGGUAACAAAUGGGAAAGUCAUCCUAAAUUCUGAAAAUCUUGAAGAUAUUGGUUCCAAGAGCUUGGCGCCAAUUGACUUCUUGUAUAGAGAGUGCCUUCAUUCUUGAUCUUCAACACGUUGCGUGCCCAUAUGUUUUCCCUUUCAUCAGUGAGCCCAUAGUAUCCUUCCUCACUCACUUCUCUGUCUUUGACCUCUUUUAGGAUCCAUAUGUAAUACUCACGUGUGCAUAAGGCCUGUCGUGCACCUAUGGGAAUGGUUAACACUCGCUCCCAUAUUUGAAGUAUGAUGUGGACUUGCAGUUUAUCUAGUCCAAAUUCAUACUUGCAGUGCUCCAUGUCAGAUCGGAGUGGUAUUACUUGAGUUCGCCCAAAUUGGCGAAGUACUCGAAGAGGAAUGUAUGGUUGAACGCCUUUUAAGCCAAUGAGCUCAAUGAAGUAUCGGUCAUCGCCUCUUACUAUUGCAUGAGGGGUGGACAACCAAUGGAGCUUCCAUUGGAUGCGGUAGCUCUCGAGCUCUGUCAAGAAUAUCUGCCAGUCUAUGAAUCCUACAGGGACGGUGAAAGCUAUCAUUCUUCUUGGAUGAUUGCUAAUUUUGUUGCCAUAACCCAGAAAGAUGUCUACCGCGUCAGACCGUAGGUAGAAGUGUUCAAUAGCCCAUAAUUGCAGCAAAAGGUUGCAUCCCUCGAAAAACAUUCGACCAUCGACGCAUGCUGACAGACUCCUCAUCAUUUCCGCUAAGAUCAUAGGUACUAGGGUUUUCCUAGGUUCGCCCUCUCUUUGGGCUAAAUCUCGAACCACAUAACCCAAGCGUGUGUCAAUCAUUCCCCUUAUCUUAGGAAAAACUAGGGAUCCUAAUAGGGCAAUGGCAAAGGCAUUUAGACGAUAUAUUUCCCAUUCCUCGACAGAGCACUCAAAAUCAUCAAUAAAGGAGUAAUAACUAUCCACUCGGCCAAAACGUGAAUAUAGAAAGUCGAAAUGAAUCCACCCAAGGUCUAAAGAAGGUAAGGUUGGAUUUGACUUCAUUCCGAGACUUUUGUAAGAACUCCCUUGAUGAUGGCUUAUAUGGUACUAUCAUUUCACACUCGUGGUAUGGCAUGUCAAUGAAACCACUUAUCUCUUCAAUCGUUGGUGCCAGUCAAAAUCCACAAAUUUGAAGACCCAUCCUCACAGGGUCCCAAAAUUCUAGCAAGGCCCUAAUCAGGUGAGGGUUUGGUAUGACAAAGAUGAGGUAGGUAGGUCCGCCCAAGAGUUAACGAACUUCCAUUUGGCGCUCCCUCUUAAUAUCAUCCACCAGCUCCUUAGCUUGUAGUUUAAAUCUACGACCAUUUGCGGGUUUGGGGAGUUGAAAGCAUCCAUGACUCUGCAAACAAAACAACAAACAACUUCUAAACUCCAUUUUUGGCAAAGUUUGGCUUAAUUUAAUUAACGUGAUCACAUUGACACAUAAUUAUGCAAUUUGUCUAAAGGAGGUUGGGGUCCCUUAGACGAUAGGGUGGUUACUAAUUAUGUGGAAUGACGCCAAGGUCAAACCACCUAGGGUUUAUGCAUCAUGUAUGAUCUAAGUAAGAUUUCUAAGAGUUGGCUUGACACGGACUUGAAAGGGAUUCUAUGCGAGAAGGCUCGUGGUUUCCCGGUAGUAAAACUAUCCAUUCCGUCCAUGCAUAUGCCGACUCUCUAUAAUUGGGUGUUUGAAGAAAAUUGGAGUAGUUGUGAGAGGUGCAAAGGCACAACAUCACGGUAACAAAAAAAGAAAAAAGAAAAAAGGAAGAAGGUCCCAAUUGGGGAAAGUAUGAGCGGAAUGCCAGUUAUCAAAGCAGUAACAUUUAGCAUUUAGGUUAAAAAGGGUAACAUAUAGACAAUUUUAAGGAAAGCAGUAAAUAAAUAAAUAAAUACAAAAAUAAGCAUGCAAACACAUAAAUAAAUCAAGCAAAUAAGGAAAGGGAAUAAAGUUUAAACAUGGAGUACACAAAAAAAAAGGGAAAAAGGGAAAGGGCGAAACAUGGGAAUAAUCAAAUAAGGGAGAGGGAAAGGGACUAAACAUGGAAAUAACAAUAUUUAAGGAAAGCGAGUAAACAAGGAAAGCAAAAAUUAAUUAGAAUGGGAAUAACCAAACAAACAAUGAAAUGACAGAUAAAGUAAACCCCACAUAAGCACGAAACACGUAAUGGUUAGAACCUAAUAUCCCCAGCGGAGUCGCCAUUCUGUCCCGCCCCGUUUUUCUCAAAACGGCCAUUCCUUUCGGAUGCACGACCUAACAACUCUUUUGGGUUUUGGAGCAAUUGAAGAGUUGCCAGCUAACGAAUUAAGGCGCGUUAGGACACCUAUCUAACCUAGCUAAGUCUUACUAGGGUCAACGAACCAGAGAUCAGGGUAAGGGUUCAAAUUACCUCGAGGAAAGGUGUUAGGCAUCCCUCGAGGUCCACAAAUGUGGGUCCCGGUCGUAUCUUAUGCAAUUUAUGUGGGGGUUACAAGUAGCAUUUAAGAUCACUUCAUUUGUUAUUUAUUUAAUUAGCAUGGUUACUAAGUGAUAACUAUAAUUAAACAAUUAGGAUUAAUUAAAUUAUCUACUCUAUGAAUUAAGCAUGAAAGAUUAGGUGAUGUAAUAAGCAAAAAAAUAAAUAUUUAAACAAUUAAUAAAAGAGGAGCGAGGAGACAGAAAUUGUACAUAUUAAUAAGCAAAUAAUUUAUUUUUAUUUUUAUUUAAGCUACCCCAAAUAAUUAUAAACAGAUAAAGGGGGGCAAAAAGAAAGGGAGACUCUGAAGGACUUUAGGAUCAGCACUCGACUUUCUUUAUUUAUCUCCAUAGGGCCUAAACUACCCCUACCCCACCACCGCAUGCUUUUCGUCUCUAAGAGGUGUCUAUCGUCCCGACUUAAGGUCCAAGAAGCAUUGAACUACUAUUACGAAGGGUUUGGACUGAAGUAAACUCCUAAUAGACCCGCCUAGACACCAAGUCAAACAAUUUGGACGAGCAUUUAGCACAUAAGUCUCAUAUUGGCCUCUAGAUUUUAAUUCACAUGCUGGCAAACACAAGUAGAGUGAAAAGGACGCAUGUUAAGUGUGUGCGCAUGAACAAGCAUUAUAACAAAAACAAUUAUUUAAUUGAGAAGGGGCAGAAAAUUACCAAGUGCAGGAAAAGUAUUAACUGAUUUAAAAGAGUGGCAUAACAAUGAUUAGGAUGCGGGAAACAGUUUAAGCAAUAGCAGAUUUAAAGUCUUUAGAUGAGCCAGUGGCAGAAUGACAUUAAUUAAUAUGCAGCAAUUGAUUUAUUUUAAGUGGCAAAACAGUGCAGAGAUUAGUUUGAACAAGAUUUAAUCGGGACAACAAGUAGCAGAUGCAGAAAAUUAAUUUUAGUAGCUGAUUUUCAGUAGUAAAACAGAGCAGAACCUAAUUGGUUUGAGCCAGAUUCGAUCUAGACAGCAGAUAAUAAUUUUAAAACAGAAUUUCUCUCUUUUUUGUUUAAUAUGGUGAUUAACAUCUCAACUUAUUAAUUAUGUCCUAUAGGCAUGAUUUCAAAGUGUGAAUAUGCUGAAAAUGUUAUCAAACCCAUAAGCACGAUGUCUGUUUCAUUUAAACAAAUUGUUAACCAUAUAGGCAUGAUAUUUAUCUAAUAUGUAACACAGGUUAAACCUAUAUGCAUGAUUUCUAAGCUCAAAACAUACUGAAAAUUAUUUAGAUCCUAUAGGCAUGCUUUCUACCUUUAUUUUACUUAUGCUUAUAUUUUAUAUAUACAAGGAAACAAAUGUCAUUAAUAAAUAGGCAGAAUAUAUUCAAAACAAAUUCGCUUUAGUUAUUUAACAUGCUGAAAGAAUGACUUUAACAAGUUGUUCUAUUGAAUAUAUUAUUUAGAUCCUAUAAGCAUAAUUUCCUAGUGAAUAUGCUAAAAUUUAUUAAUGGAGCCUAUAUUAACAAAUAACACAUAUGACAAAUUAACAUAAAAGUUCAGAUUUUAAUCCUUUUAAAUUUGUUAGCAUGCUAAAAAGGUUUGUUAAGCAAAUGAAACUAAGAUCUGGAUAUACUAGUUAUUGAACUCUUACUAAUUCAAGUUAAUUAAUUAAGAGACUAUCAAUUGUUAUAAUGCGACAUACCUAAAAGCAUUACAAAUUUGUUAAUUUUUAAAAAAAAAUAUACAAACACAAAUAAACAAUUGAUUUUAAGUUGGAUUAUUUAAGGGAUUCCGACAUAAUUAUAAUAUAUGCGUAGCAAUCACACAUAACAAGAAUGAACUAAACUAAAAAUGGAAAUAGACAAUUAGCACGUAUAUCCACCUCCCCUUAGGCGAUCCCCAAGUUAUAUCACAUAUAUAGAGUUAGAGUUUACAAAUUAUUACAAAACAAUAAAAGAAUAAAUAAUAUACAAAAGAUAAAUUAAAUCAAUUCGUCUAUUGCACUGCCAUGGCGACUCUUCAUGUCUUGAACCUUUAAGUUCAAACCCUGUUAAACAAAGCAACAAUACAACCCAAGUAAUAUACAACACAUGUAAUAACAAUUAUUUUUUAUGAACUAAAACAGAAUAGAACAUACGUAUUACUUCAAGCCAUAUAUUGCACAUAUGAAAUCAUACACAUAUAAAGGGGAGAGGAGAACUGACCCGAACACUUCCUUUAUUUAUUUCAAUCAUACAAUAUCCAUAAUAGAUGAUGCAAGCGAAAUUUAAACUAAUGAAAAAGAGAACUAACCGAUUAUGCAGAUUUAUUAAUCAGCAAUGAAGAUCAAACUUAUUCCGACACUAGACCCGAACACAGCAAAACCAAAUAGAGAAGCUUCUUAGAAUAUUCACCCCAUUUUAAAUCUUUAGAAUAGAGGGUACUUUAUGCCUUUUGUUAGAAUAUGUCAACAGGAGUGACCGGGUCCUCUAUGUGUGCGUGAAAAGGUUAUUUAUAGUGGAGAAGAGGGCAUAUAAUAUAAGGAAAGGAAUAAUUUAGAAUCAAUUAAAUAUUAUUUUUUCCUUAUUCAAAGAAUACCAAAUCAUUAACAUUGUGUUUUAGCUCCAUCGAAACUUAACUAAAAUAUUGCAAGUAAUGGACAAAUCAUCCUUAAUUAUGGCAACUACAAUCAAUUAACAUUAAUAAUAAAAAAUAAUAAAGCCAAUUUUACCAUUACCAAGAGCCAAAAUCUUCAAAUAAAAACCAACUUAGCAUAAAUUAAUCCACAACAUGCAAAAUCAAAAUGAUCAUAUUAAGGAAAAAAAGCAUAAGUCAAGCAAUAAUAUUUUACCGUAAUUAUUAAACAAGCAAGAAAUUAGACAAGAAUUAUAUAUGGCCUAAAAGAAAUCAAUUUACAACAUGAAAUAUGCAUACUUGAUUAAAAUUUUUUUCUCCUUGAUACGGAUUAAUCAAAUCAACAAAUCAAUGGAUUAUUAUCAAUUUAGACUUACCAUGCUAUAAGCUAAAAUCAUGUAAAUGAAAAGAAUAACAUUCAUAACAUAAGCAGGGAAAGGUUUGGAACAAGAUUUCAACAUUAUCAAAUUUAGCAACUCUAAUGGUAAUAUUAUUCAUAUGAUUAGAGAGACACAAACUAGUAGCAUGUUCAAGAUGAAAUUCAUAGCAUUUACUAGCUUUAACAUAGAGUAGACAUAUGAAUCAAGAUUAAGAACUCUAUAAUCAAAUCUAAAUAACUAGAUAAUAAAUCGAACAAGAGAGCGAACCUGGAUGGAUCUGAUAAGACCCAAUAUUUUUUAACAAAUCAAAACUCAAAGCUUUUCCUCUAAACCUGCCCUGUCUAGCGGUGCAAUAGCUGCUGACCGGAAUUCUCGCCUUGAGCUGCUGCUGCUGGUUCUGUUGCUCGCCGGAGAAAGAAAAAAGGGCCGGAGUGGGAGCUGGCUUUCGCUGGCUGCUGCUGUCUGCCACGCCUGGCUGUGGUCACCGGAGCUGCUGGUGCCGGUGGAGGAGGUGUUCGCUGCUGCUGCUGGUGGUUGCUGGCUUCCUCCUCCUCGCUGCUGCUGGUUGCUACGCUGGCUGCUCACUGGAGUUGCUGUCCAGCUUCCUUCGCCUGAAAAGGAGGAGAAGAAGAGAUAGGGGCAAGGGGAGAUAAAUGAGAAAGUGCGAAGGGAGAGAGAGGGCGCCGGAGAGGGAGACGGGGAGGAGGAGAGGCGACUGCCUCCAGUGGCUUUCGCCGGAAAAAAAUAUGGUGGGGAGAGAGGGUGGCGGCUGCCCGGAGAGGAGAGGAAGAGAUGAAUUUUUUUUGAGGGGC
RNAcentral lists this long non-coding RNA (12344 nucleotides) under Solanum tuberosum (potato). Its description in RNAcentral is "long non-coding RNA (STUB_LNC008183)". The record is from RNAcentral. Lineage: Eukaryota; Viridiplantae; Streptophyta; Magnoliopsida; Solanales; Solanaceae.